RNAcentral lists this ribosomal RNA (331 nucleotides) under Coronella austriaca. Its description in RNAcentral is "partial large subunit ribosomal RNA". Lineage: Eukaryota; Metazoa; Chordata; Lepidosauria; Squamata; Colubridae. The record is from RNAcentral.
CCUAGUAAAAAGCUAGAAUUACAACAUAAGACCAGAAGACCCUGUGAAGCUUAAAUAAAACUAUUAAACCAUAUAAUAGCUACUUUCGGUUGGGGCGACCUUGGAAAAAAAAAGAACUUCCAAAUAAAAUGAAUAUACCUCAUUAYCUAAACAGGCCAACAAGCCAAAAAYGACCCAGCACAGCUGAUAAUUGAACCAAGUUACUCCAGGGAUAACAGCGCAAUCUUCUUCAAGAGCCCAUAUCAAAAAGAAGGUUUACGACCUCGAUGUUGGAUCAGGACAUCCUAAUGGUGCAGCCGCUAUUAAGGGUUCGUUUGUUCAACGAUUAAUA